AAAAUGCGUUACCUAGUGUGACAUGCAUACACUCGUGAAUCACCGACAUCUUGAACGUAACUGACAAAGCGGGUUUACGCCCGCUUUAAUCACGACCGAGUGCCAACAAAUUCACCACAAAAUUGGGCGUUCGAUUUAACCGUCGUCGCCUUAAAUCUAACUUAUACGUUAAUUCACGGUCAAAAAGUUUUCGCCGUAAAAAAGCUUAAACCCGAAAACCAUAACGUAUAUUUAUCCCAAAACCCGAAUAACACGGGUCAACAUUUCACCGAGAUUGAAAACCUUGGUCUUAUUUGACCUCGAUCGUGAUAGACUACCCGCUGAAUUUAA
Molecule: unclassified non-coding RNA, 330 nt
Filed under: uncultured fungus
Lineage: Eukaryota; Fungi
Description: sequence contains ITS1
Rfam family: 5.8S ribosomal RNA (bases 1-105)
Source: RNAcentral